RNAcentral lists this ribosomal RNA (539 nucleotides) under Anthopleura handi. RNAcentral's name for it is "partial 12S ribosomal RNA". It matches the Rfam family "Bacterial small subunit ribosomal RNA", at positions 685 to 1386 of the family's 1533-position model. The record is from RNAcentral. Lineage: Eukaryota; Metazoa; Cnidaria; Anthozoa; Actiniaria; Actiniidae.
AAUGUGAGGAUAGAAAAUAGAACCCCUAAGGUAAAAACUAUUUACUACAAGGUAGGCUGAAACAUGAGAGUGUGGGGAGCAAACAGGAUUAGAGACCCUGGUAGUCCACACUGUGAACUUUGAAGAUGAUGCUUAGCAGACCCGAAAGGUAAAAUCUUCCGCCUGAGUUGUACGAUCGCAAGAUUAAAAUUCAAAAACUUUGGCUGUUCACUAUUUCGAUUAGAGGAGCGUGUAGUUUAAUUCGAUGGUCCGCGUGUUACCUUACCCCAACUUGAAUCUGUGACCGGUAUUGCAUGGCCGUCGUAAGUUCGUGUAUUAAGCUAGAAGGGACCCAACCCGGGCAUUUGCCCGGAGGAAGUCAGGUCUUAUGAUCCGAAUGUUGGGGGAUUUUAUGCGCUACAUUUUCUUAUAUAAUGAGAAACCUGGAAGGUGAAUCUCUAAAGUAAGAGUUCGGAAGGUCGCUGUAAGACGACUGGAAGUUGGAUUUAAUAGUAAUCGGAAAGUAGGGCGUUCCGGUGAAUUGGUACAAGUGUUAGCAC